GGCGGGGCGGGGCGGGGCGGGGCCGGGCAGGGGUAGCGGCGGCGGCGGCGGGAGCCAGCCGGCAGCGCCAUGGCCAAGUGGGGCCAGGGGGACCCGCGCUGGAUCGUGGAGGAGCGAGCGGACGCCACCAACGUGAACAACUGGCACUGGACGGAGCGGGACGCGACCGGCUGGUCAAAAACCCAACUGGAGCAGCUGCUGGUGGGGAUCGCGGUGGGCAGUGAGGCGGGCAGCUGUGAAAUAAGCGACCUGAAGCAAAUGGAAGGCGAAGCCUCCUGCAACAGCCGGAAAGGGAAACUGAUUUUCUUCUACGAAUGGAACAUAACACUUAGCUGGAAAGGUACAAUGAAAGAAUCUGGUGAGAAACAUGAGGGAUUUGUUGAAAUUCCUAACCUGUCAGAAGAAAAUGAGGUGGAUGAUACAGAGAUAAGUGUAAGCAAAAAGAAAGGAGAUGGAGAUGUGCUAAAGGAUCUUAUGAGAACAGAAGGAACUUCAAAAGUCAGGGAGGCUCUCAGACAUUAUCUGAAAGUUCUUAAAACAGAGUUUACUCUGGGAAUGAUCCUACCAACCAAAACUUCAGCUGGUCCGGAACUAGCGGUUAAAAAAAAAUUGAGUGAGAAUAACAUGCAGGAUUCUGUUUUACCAGUUUCUUUGGAUACAGUUGGUGUAAAAAUUCCAACAGUAAAGAUACUUCUGAAAGAGAUGUUUGACUCUCCGAUAGAGGAGCUUUAUAGCAUCUUCAUAACUAAGGAGUUGGUGCAGAAAUUUUCUAAAAGUUGUGCUGUGAUCCAAGCCAAAAGAGGAGGGAAACUUCAAAUGUUUGAUGGUUGUAUUACUGGUGAAUAUAUAGAAUUGUUACCCAGCCAAAGGAUUGUCAUGAAAUGGAGAUGCAGGGACUGGCCUCAUGAACAUUAUGCAACGGUUGCUUUGAAUUUCAAGGAUCGGGCAACUCAAACUGAGUUACAGGUAGAGUGCAAAGGAGUCCCUGUCUGUAAUGAAGACAGUACAAGACAGCGUUGGCAGAAGCAGCAUUUUGAAGAAAUACGUGUUUUACUGCAACAGACCAAAACUAACGCGGCUGCUACUCUGAAACCAGUCAAAUGGCAAGGUUAUUCUGAACCACCACCAUCUGCAGCAUCUUCCUGCUAAACAAGGCAUCCGUUAAAUCAGCAAGUCCACCUUAUAGUGUCUGAUAGAGGUGUAAGCCGGGUGUGCCGCUAGCGUUGAUUUGGGUGCUGUGGCCAUUGGCAGAAUGAAGGAAGUCAGAAUCUCAAUGGAACGGAUGGUUAGAGCUUUCAGCACCAGUGGACUUACCCCAGUUGUCUGGAUAAAGUCCUCCUCGUACUCAGAGCCUCUUCCUGUUCUGCUCUGUCUCUCCUGGUUGGGUUUUUCUGCAGUGGAGUCGCAGCUACUUGCGGGGUGGAGUUAUGGGGUAGAGGCCCAAACCUGCCUGUCUGACUUAGAGCCCUGUGCCCUUGCAGAGAUAGGGUCAGCUGGCUGGCUGGCUGGUGCUUGCACAGCUGCUCUGCCAGGCCUGACAGGGAGCAGAGGAGCUCAAUGGGAUGCAUGCAGCGGAGGUGACAGGUGGCUAUGAUCACCAUGCUGCCCAGAUGCCGGUACUUGCAUAGCUGCUGUGUCAUGCCUUGAAAGGGGGCAGAUGAGCUUGGCAGGGAGAUGCUACAGUGAGGCUUGAAAACAAUUUAACCACUCAAAAUAAUGAAUCUACAAGAAAAGGACGGGAGCGAAGCAAACAACAAUUUGACUGUUGUCACGGAGACAGAAGAUGUAGCACCAAGCAGGAAAAGGGAGUGUGGCUAGCACAGGCUGUGCUGCAGUUUAUGAAAACUUUGUACAGGAGGGGAAUAGCCCAUUUGUAUCAGAAUUGUGGGAGACACUGGGCAGCAGAAAGAGGGACUGAAAAUGGCAAGAGGGGGAGAAGAGGAGGCCAGAAUGGAGCAAAGGCUCAAGUCCUAGCUGACAGGUCAAUACUGAGGAAAGUGGUAAAAGAUUCAGUUGGAUUCUUUGUAUUUUUAAAUUGUUGGAAUGAGGUACACUUUACUGAACUGCCCAAUUGUAAAGUUAAUGCAAAGCAGACAAAACGAAUGGGAAAGAACUGAGAUUUACACAGCUUAGAAUGUAUUUGAGAAGCAUUUCUUAUUCUGCAACUAUUUCACAGUUCUCAAGUUGUCUUUGGUUAGAAAUCUGAAGACUGAAGCAACGUAUGUAAACAAAUGAAAAGUCAUCACAAUCAGUUUAAUGAAGUGCACAGAAUAGCGAUUGAUCAUGUCAAUAAAAAUAAAACAAUUAAUUUUACAUCAAGUGUGCUUUAUUUCCUCCACAGGUAUUCUGUUAAAUAAAGCACCAUAUAUAUACUGCCAGGCCACAGCUAAAGAGGAUUCUUUACAGAAUCAAAUUUCUUGUGGUUGUUUAGUAUACAAGUAAACUUAAUUUUGAUAAUAAGAACCACAGCGAUCUGAGGCAAUCUGCCUCUAUUAUAAGGUACAAAACUGGCACAGAGGACACCAUAUUAUACACAGUAAAAAUGCCAUAAGUUUAAAUUACAUCAUACAGGGCAAGGAGGCCCUGUUCUCCCAUACAGCCAUAUUAAAUGAAAGCCACUACAGUGAACUCUUAAUUACAUAAAACAUAUCCAUUAUCUGAUUGCCCUUUAAGAAAAGUACGGUAGAUGCAAAAAAUGUUUUAAUCUGGAGUUCUGCCUGACCAAGAAUUAAGCAUAUAAAUCUAUCUUGCCAUUCAAGCAGAGAGCACUGGACAAACUGAAGCACAAAACAGAAAUAAGCAAAACUUAUACAAACAGCAUUUUU
RNA transcript from Chelonia mydas (Green sea turtle), 2825 nucleotides. It is a transcript of the gene named activator of 90 kDa heat shock protein ATPase homolog 2, with no coding region annotated. The transcript has 12 exons. Lineage: Eukaryota; Metazoa; Chordata; Testudines; Cheloniidae. The record is from RefSeq and is a predicted model, not a curated record.